This 3624-nucleotide long non-coding RNA is filed under the name Canis lupus familiaris (dog). RNAcentral describes it as "lncRNA (ENSCAFG00845014095.1)". The record is from RNAcentral. Lineage: Eukaryota; Metazoa; Chordata; Mammalia; Carnivora; Canidae.
UUUUUUUUGUUUUUUUUUUUGUUUUGUUUUGUUUGUUUGUUUGUUUUUACGGAGGAAGGAGGCUCUGAAGGCAGAAGUGUCCAGGGCCUCGUGAGCAUAGCGAGGGAGAGGGAGCUGGCCAGCGGCCCCCUGCAGCCUCCCCCGAGCCCAGAGCCUUGGAAAGCAUUGCACCUGACCCCAUAGGGGCUCAGCUCCACCACCACCCAGAGUGCAAAGACUGGACCAUAUUCUGGUCGCCCAGGAUGACAAGGUGGCCAGGGCUGGGGAGGGAGGCAAAGCAGCUGAAAUCUCAAGAUUUCCCUUUAGAAAUUCAUGAGUCCAACAGAGGCCUGCCCCAGAUUAUUAUUUUCCCCUGAGAAGCAGGUAGAGAAAAUAUUAAAAUAAUAUGACAAGAACAUUAAAACCAUUCCGCAUCUGCCAAGGCGUCAGAUGCACUGGGACGCGGCCCACGGCCACGCCUUGCGGGGUCCAGCGGACCUGGACUGGUGUUUUCCUGCUUUGGGGCUGACACCCUGGAGCAGGAUUCCCCAGGGACCGUGCUGCCGGCCAGCGGGAAGGUGGGGACCCCAGAAAGAGAAGUCUCCCUCCUGCCACACCCUCCCCUCCAUCGGCACCUCCCUCUCCAGGCUGCGUGCUUGUGCUAAUACAGCUUUUCCACAAUUACCCCCAAGUUCCUCUGAGCCUAAUAGAUAACAUUUGCUAAUUAGAAUGUAUUCAUUCUUGCUGGAGGUAACCCUGUGUAGGAGGAGGAGGCUGGACCUUCUCCCACAGCAGCUCCCCGUGGACGGGGAGAGCCCUGUCACCCUGCCACCCUCCAGGGCCCCACCCUCUGCUCCCUGCCCACCUUGGCUCAAGGGCCUGCCUCAGUGCUGCAGACCUGGCCAUCCUCUGGACCAUCGUCUCCGGGGAUGUGGGGAGCAUCCGGUGGGUACCCCACACCCUCCCUUCUUGCCACUGCCAACCAGCAUCCCCACAAACCACCCCCCACGGCAAGCUUCCUGGGGUCUGGAAUGCCUAUUCGUGGAACAGGUCUGUGGCCUGAGGUUCAGGUGGGUGAGGACCGUCCUUUUGUUCAGUGAUCUACCCACCAGGCUGACCUGCAACAAGCUGCACUUCCCAGAGCUGACAAGACUCCACGAGGCACAGACACGUCAGGAGAGCCAGCGUUCUAAUUCUGUCUUUUGUGUUUAUUUUGUCUUAAAACCCUCACCACUCACCUCAGGGGGCUUCACGCUUCCCCACCUUUAAGCUUUCAAUUUUCCAGAUUUUCUGCAAGGAGCGUGGGUGACUUUUUCAAGGAGACAGACAUCACCGUCAUUGUAAUUGGGGAGAAUAACCCCCCCCCUUGGAUGAAUGAACAUGUGGGCAUGUAGGGGGUGGUGAGGGACCCUGGCCGGGGUGGGCUUGGGGGCUGGGGCCGCUCAGCUCGGCCCCCUCGAGUCCCAGAUGGACCUGUUUGCUGCCCCUGGAGAUAGAAUUCCAGAUCUGGGUGCAGCUCCCGGACAUUUCCUGGUUUCCAGCUGCCCAGGAGCCACCCUGGCUCCUGCAUGUGCCCAAACCCCCUUACUCACCCACCUCAGAAUUGGCCGAGUAGUGAUUUCGGCAAACACGGGGUCUGUGCAACAUCCAGGAGCUGCCUUUCGAGGGCCACUCCAUCUGUGCUCCUGGCAAAGCCCCUCCCCGUGCCCCAUUGGCCCCCGGCCCCCAGCACCCCUCCCUCUCUUCUGCACAAUCAGUCGCCACCACACUGUCUCUGCCCCAGACCCUCGGCGGCGGCGGCGCUCCACCCCCCCCCCAGCCGCCAGGCCCAUCUCCAGCACCCGGGCCGAUCUUACAGCAGAAGGAUUUAAUUGCAUGUCAAAAUUAAAUCUCUUUUGAUGAAGAACAAUUCAACUACGGCUCUGUCUAAUCAAAUUAACAAAGUCUUUUUUGAUUUUCAAUUAUCUUCUUCACGGGCACACUUUAUCCAAGGCUCCCGCGAUGGUGCUGACAAGCCACGCAUUCACAAUGAGGGCCCUCACCUGGACUGCUGACCAGGGCCCCAAGCGGCCGCCCUCCUGGCCUGGGAGGUGAUGUCCGGGGCGGCUCUGAGCAGAGGCGGUGAGGGAGGGAGGGCAGGUGCAGACAGAGGUCCGCCCGUCGGAAACAGGAGAGAACCCGCUGGGGCAGCCGCCCAGGAAAGGAGGCAGCGACGACGGGCCACAGCUCUCUGGUGACACCUAGCUCUGCCCAGGUGCCCCCCAGACACCCCACGCCCACCACAGCUCCUGCACACGGCCCGCAGCACCCGUGUCUUCUGGGUCCUUCCUCCAGGGCCUACGGUGAUCACCAGCCACGUGGCUCCGCCCUGGAGCCAGCACCAUCAGUGGGGACACACGUGAGCCCUAUGCGUGAUUUUAAACUUCCUGGCAGUCCUGUUAAGGACGCAGAAAGAAAACAGGUGGAAUCGAUGCUAAUGAUUUAUUUCAUUUAGCUCAGUAUGUCCCGAAUGUUAUCAUUUCGACACGGAAGCAACAGGAACUCUACUGAUGGGAAGGUUUACAUUCUUUCCUUCAUGAUGAGUCUUUAAAAUGCAGGUGCAGCCUGCACUAACAGUACCCCUCGGCCCCCCAGCCGCAGUCGGAUGCCCGGGGGCCCAGCGGCGUGGCUGCCCGGCUGGACCGGGAGCUCCUGCGGGGCCGGGCGGCUCUCGGGGUUCAGUGCUCUCACCAGUGGGCGCAGGCCUGGCACCCAGCAGUGCAUGCUGCAGGCGCACUGCACAAGCCAAUGAACCCUCCUACGUAGCACCGGCUCAUUCUGGAAGUAGGUGGGGUGGGGGCAGGACUCUCCUUCUCAGGGACCUGUUCCCCUCCUUGCCCACUUACCAAACUCUGGGGGCCCCUCUGCCACCCGAAGUCCCCAUCGCAGGGCUCACUGCCUUCCUCUCCCGCCUCCAAACCUGCUUCUCCCUCCCUGGACUCUAAGCGCUAACUGGACCUUAUUUGGACACGUAAACGGGAAAGAACUAGGACCCAGAAGAUCACCAUGCACACACAGGGACCCGACAAAACACAAGGGCUUGCUGGGGUUGGUCUAGACACACUUUGCCGCCAGAUUUGGUUUCCUUGAGGCUCCUGGGCUGCCGGUGAUGGGCAUGGCCGGUUGGUCACAUCCAUGGAACCCAACUUUGUGCGACGAGCAUUCGGACAUCUGCUGCUGACAACACCCUCUUCCCUCUGGCCUUUCCGUACACCCUGGAGACAGGGGCCUUUGGGCCACGCGGGGCCAGCGGCUCAGACUUUCCGUGUCUCCCCAGGCAACUUAUAGAACUGCCAAAUCUUAAUGCCAUUGUGGCUCCUAAGUGGCCAGUUUAUCUUAACGAUUUUUGCUUUAACUGUUGGGACCAUGUUUUGGGGCUGUGUGGGCACUUUUGAUCUCUCCGUCCGUCUCUGUCUCUCUGACACAUGCACACGCACAUACACACGCGCAGGCCCCUAGUGUGCACUAUCAAUGCAGCGGUCUUCACCAGAGCUGGGCUCCUGGAUCUGAUGACAACGCUCCGUCCUGAGACCAGAACGUAGAACAGGAUGGGACACGGCUGAGCGCUCGGAGCAGGGACAGUACAGAGUCACAGAGCCUCCCGGG